This 116-nucleotide ribosomal RNA is filed under the name Sporothrix schenckii ATCC 58251. Lineage: Eukaryota; Fungi; Ascomycota; Sordariomycetes; Ophiostomatales; Ophiostomataceae. The record is from RNAcentral.
ACGGCCAUAGAUAAAGGAAAAUACGGGAUCCCGUCCGCUCUCCCCUAGUCAAACCUUCAAUCGGCGGAUUAGUAGUUGGGUCGGUGACGACCAGCGAAUACCCGCUGCUGUACGUU